RNAcentral lists this ribosomal RNA (510 nucleotides) under uncultured bacterium. RNAcentral's name for it is "bacterial SSU rRNA". It matches the Rfam family "Bacterial small subunit ribosomal RNA", at positions 201 to 708 of the family's 1533-position model. The record is from RNAcentral.
UACAAGCUUUCGCCUUAAGAUGAGCCCAUGGCCCAUCAGCUAGUUGGUAGGGUAAAGGCCUACCAAGGCUACGACGGGUCGCUGGUCUGAGAGGACGACCAGCCACACUGGCACUGAGAUACGGGCCAGACUCCUACGGGAGGCAGCAGUGAGGAAUAUUGCGCAAUGGGGGAAACCCUGACGCAGCAACGCCGCGUGUGGGAAGAAGGCCUUCGGGUCGUAAACCACUUUUGCACGGGACGAAAAAGGGAUAUCGAACAAAUAUCCCCGAUGACGGUACCGUGAGAAUAAGCCACGGCUAACUCUGUGCCAGCAGCCGCGGUAAGACAGAGGUGGCAAGCGUUGUUCGGAAUUACUGGGCGUAAAGAGUCUGUAGGUGGUUUGUCAAGUCUUUGGUGAAAGGCCGUAGCUUAACUAUGGGAAUGCCAAAGAGACUGGCAGGCUGGAGGCUGGGAGAGGGAAGCGGAAUUUCUGGUGUAGCGGUGAAAUGCGUAGAUAUCAGAAGGAAGG